Molecule: long non-coding RNA, 359 nt
Organism: Gavialis gangeticus (Gharial)
Lineage: Eukaryota; Metazoa; Chordata; Crocodylia; Gavialidae
Exons: 3
Source: RefSeq, a predicted model, not a curated record
CAGCGAGGAUUACCUGUUGUUCACCAGCUGGGGGCUGCCAGGAGUAGCUGCAUGGAGUGCCGGGUUCAGUGGCAGCAGAUUUGAAGCAGCUCCUCAAGUGGCCAGGCUCUGGCACACUCUGUCCUGUUCCAAAUGGUAGUUUGCUUUCAUCAUGGUGAAACUUCUGUCUGGCUGUUGGGCUGAGCAGAAGCACAAAAGAAUGAGGAGCUCUUUGCUGCCAGUGACUGGCUUCCUUUCUGCUUUGUGCUGACUGAGGGACAUUGUGGAAGCGACGUGCACCUAAAUAUCCUGGGUGGACUUGUGCUCCUCACUUGUUGUCUGUGACACGUGUUUCUGUAGUCGCCAUCCCUAUUAUGUUA